GUGAGCCUUCUUCUUUUCCCGGUACUUCCUCACCGCGGCCCGGUUACCGGACGGGCGCUUCUUGGAGGCGUUGUUCUCGGACGGCGACUCCGCGGUCUCGGCGGCGUCGGGCGAAGCCGCAACGAUCUUGGUGUGGACAUGGACGCAGGUGUGGGUGUGCGAAUGGUCGUGGACCGGCGGGUUGCAGGUGUGGGUGUGGGUGCAGGCAUGGUGCUCGGUAUCCUUCAGGAUGUCAUCAAAGUAGCUGUCCAUGGAGCAGCUGCUUGGGGGAUCGUUGCCGAUGGCCGGGCAAAGGAAGGUGUCAGGGUUCGAGAAAUCAAGGUCCCCAUCGUCCA
RNAcentral lists this long non-coding RNA (335 nucleotides) under Setaria italica (foxtail millet). Its description in RNAcentral is "long non-coding RNA (SITA_LNC003335)". The record is from RNAcentral. Lineage: Eukaryota; Viridiplantae; Streptophyta; Magnoliopsida; Poales; Poaceae.